This 1430-nucleotide ribosomal RNA is filed under the name Salmonella enterica subsp. enterica. RNAcentral describes it as "partial 23S ribosomal RNA". It matches the Rfam family "Bacterial large subunit ribosomal RNA", at positions 161 to 1547 of the family's 2925-position model. The record is from RNAcentral. Lineage: Bacteria; Pseudomonadati; Pseudomonadota; Gammaproteobacteria; Enterobacterales; Enterobacteriaceae.
AAUCCAUAGGUUAAUGAGGCGAACCGGGGGAACUGAAACAUCUAAGUACCCCGAGGAAAAGAAAUCAACCGAGAUUCCCCCAGUAGCGGCGAGCGAACGGGGAGGAGCCCAGAGCCUGAAUCAGCAUGUGUGUUAGUGGAAGCGUCUGGAAAGGCGCGCGAUACAGGGUGACAGCCCCGUACACAAAAGCGCAUGUGUUGUGAGCUCGAUGAGUAGGGCGGGACACGUGGUAUCCUGUCUGAAUAUGGGGGGACCAUCCUCCAAGGCUAAAUACUCCUGACUGACCGAUAGUGAACCAGUACCGUGAGGGAAAGGCGAAAAGAACCCCGGCGAGGGGAGUGAAAAAGAACCUGAAACCGUGUACGUACAAGCAGUGGGAGCACAGGUUUACCUGUGUGACUGCGUACCUUUUGUAUAAUGGGUCAGCGACUUAUAUUCUGUAGCAAGGUUAACCGAAUAGGGGAGCCGGAGGGAAACCGAGUCUUAACCGGGCGUUAAGUUGCAGGGUAUAGACCCGAAACCCGGUGAUCUAGCCAUGGGCAGGUUGAAGGUUGGGUAACACUAACUGGAGGACCGAACCGACUAAUGUUGAAAAAUUAGCGGAUGACCUGUGGCUGGGGGUGAAAGGCCAAUCAAACCGGGAGAUAGCUGGUUCUCCCCGAAAGCUAUUUAGGUAGCGCCUCGUGAACUCAUCUCCGGGGGUAGAGCACUGUUUCGGCUAGGGGGCCAUCCCGGCUUACCAACCCGAUGCAAACUGCGAAUACCGGAGAAUGUUAUCACGGGAGACACACGGCGGGUGCUAACGUCCGUCGUGAAGAGGGAAACAACCCAGACCGCCAGCUAAGGUCCCAAAGUCAUGGUUAAGUGGGAAACGAUGUGGGAAGGCCCAGACAGCCAGGAUGUUGGCUUAGAAGCAGCCAUCAUUUAAAGAAAGCGUAAUAGCUCACUGGUCGAGUCGGCCUGCGCGGAAGAUGUAACGGGGCUAAACCAUGCACCGAAGCUGCGGCAGCGAACGUAUCACCCAAGACAACUUUGCGGAGUUGACGAUUGACGGAGCGAAGCGACGUCAAAGCGUUCAUUAAAGUCGAGUUGGCUUAGGGAUACGUUCGUUGGGUAGGGGAGCGUUCUGUAAGCCAGUGAAGGUGUGUCGUGAGGCAUGCUGGAGGUAUCAGAAGUGCGAAUGCUGACAUAAGUAACGAUAAAGCGGGUGAAAAGCCCGCUCGCCGGAAGACCAAGGGUUCCUGUCCAACGUUAAUCGGGGCAGGGUGAGUCGACCCCUAAGGCGAGGCCGAAAGGCGUAGUCGAUGGGAAACGGGUUAAUAUUCCCGUACUUGGUGUUACUGCGAAGGGGGGACGGAGAAGGCUAUGUUGGCCGGGCGACGGUUGUCCCGGUUUAAGCGUGUAGGUGUGUGUUCCAGGUAAAUCCGGUU